AUACGGAGGAUCCGAGCGUUAUCCGGAUUUAUUGGGUUUAAAGGGAGCGUAGGUGGAUUGUUAAGUCAGUUGUGAAAGUUUGCGGCUCAACCGUAAAAUUGCAGUUGAAACUGGCAGUCUUGAGUACAGUAGAGGUGGGCGGAAUUCGUGGUGUAGCGGUGAAAUGCUUAGAUAUCACGAAGAACUCCGAUUGCGAAGGCAGCUCACUAGACUGUUACUGACACUUAUGCUCGAAAGUUUGGGUAUCAAACAGGAUUAGAUACCCUGGUAGUCCACACAGUAAACGAUGAAUACUCGCUGUUUGCGAUAUACAGUAAGCGGCCAAGCGAAAGCAUUAAGUAUUCCACCUGGGGAGUACGCCGGCAACGGUGAAACUCAAAUGAAUUGACGGGG
RNAcentral lists this ribosomal RNA (393 nucleotides) under uncultured bacterium. RNAcentral's name for it is "partial 16S ribosomal RNA". It matches the Rfam family "Bacterial small subunit ribosomal RNA", at positions 523 to 918 of the family's 1533-position model. The record is from RNAcentral.